Molecule: unclassified non-coding RNA, 829 nt
Filed under: Hevea brasiliensis (rubber tree)
Lineage: Eukaryota; Viridiplantae; Streptophyta; Magnoliopsida; Malpighiales; Euphorbiaceae
Source: RNAcentral
AGUUAGAUAAGCAGAUCUCUCAUCAAAAUAAUCAGUGACACGAACUUUUUGAGCUUCAAGCAUAGCUAUUCUGGCGAGUAGCUCUUGCUUAUGAGUAUCACCUUCAGAUGGGGAGGCCUUAGAAUCAGGAUCAUCGGACUUGCAAAGGCAGAAGGUUGAAUCCUUUAGGUUGGUUGAUCUCCCAGUCAGGAAAAGGGCUUGCUUUGGAGGCAGGAAGGAGGCAUUAAUGGCUUUGAGGGUGAUAAUCUUCUUCUGUCCACAGGAGAGUGAAAGAGAGGGGACGUUAAUGGCUUUGAGGGCGAUCAUCUCUCUUGGACCAGUGGCUAUUUUGGACAUUUCAUUUGGUGGACAUUAUCCGUUGCGAGAACUUACUGUGGUCCUUUUCAAAAGGUGAGCUCUUUGCUAAUACAAAUUUUCUUUUAGGUGUAAAUUAUAAGUUAAAUUUUUUAAAUUUAUUGAAAAUUACAAUUUAAUCCUAUAAUUUUAAUUUUAAAAAUAAGUUAAUCCUUGAAUCUGUUAAUAACGAAGUUAUUCUACCCAAUUUUCAUUUAAUUUGCCUUUAGUAGAUAGAAAAUGAUAAAAAUAGCCUCUCCUUCUCUGUGAACCAUCUCUCCCUCCUCCUUUCCAUUGAAAAUGACAAUCCACACCUCUCUUUCCCCAGAAUCACAAUGACAUAAUUAAUAAUUAAAUGGACAAAAUUUAAAAACUAAUUUAACAAAUCCACAAAAACCAAAAUUGAAUUGAAAUUCACAAACCAAUCCUCUAGCAACAUUGAAUAGACGCAGAGCAUCGGUCCAGGUUGACCCAUGGAAGCUCGCCGCAAGUUCUC